RNAcentral lists this ribosomal RNA (627 nucleotides) under Salmonella enterica subsp. enterica serovar Schwarzengrund. Its description in RNAcentral is "partial 23S ribosomal RNA". It matches the Rfam family "Bacterial large subunit ribosomal RNA", at positions 568 to 1191 of the family's 2925-position model. Lineage: Bacteria; Pseudomonadati; Pseudomonadota; Gammaproteobacteria; Enterobacterales; Enterobacteriaceae. The record is from RNAcentral.
CAAAAGAAGCAGAGGGGGCUUAGUGGUGGGGUGACUGCGUACCUUUUGUAUAAUGGGUCAGCGACUUAUAUUCUGUAGCAAGGUUAACCGAAUAGGGGAGCCGGAGGGAAACCGAGUCUUAACCGGGCGUUAAGUUGCAGGGUAUAGACCCGAAACCCGGUGAUCUAGCCAUGGGCAGGUUGAAGGUUGGGUAACACUAACUGGAGGACCGAACCGACUAAUGUUGAAAAAUUAGCGGAUGACCUGUGGCUGGGGGUGAAAGGCCAAUCAAACCGGGAGAUAGCUGGUUCUCCCCGAAAGCUAUUUAGGUAGCGCCUCGUGAAUUCAUCUCCGGGGGUAGAGCACUGUUUCGGCUAGGGGGCCAUCCCGGCUUACCAACCCGAUGCAAACUGCGAAUACCGGAGAAUGUUAUCACGGGAGACACACGGCGGGUGCUAACGUCCGUCGUGAAGAGGGAAACAACCCAGACCGCCAGCUAAGGUCCCAAAGUCAUGGUUAAGUGGGAAACGAUGUGGGAAGGCCCAGACAGCCAGGAUGUUGGCUUAGAAGCAGCCAUCAUUUAAAGAAAGCGUAAUAGCUCACUGGUCGAGUCGGCCUGCGCGGAAGAUGUAACGGGGCUAAACCAUG